GCGACCCCAGGAUGGGCGAGGGCACCCGCCGAGUUUAAGCAUAUCAAUAAGCGGAGGAAAAG
This 62-nucleotide ribosomal RNA is filed under the name Zygosepalum tatei. RNAcentral describes it as "partial 26S ribosomal RNA". The record is from RNAcentral. Lineage: Eukaryota; Viridiplantae; Streptophyta; Magnoliopsida; Asparagales; Orchidaceae.